GAUGAAGAACGUAGCGAAAUGCGAUAAGUAAUGAGAAUUGCAGAAUUCAGUGAAUCAUCGAAUCUUUGAACGCACAUUGCGCCCGCCAGUAUUCUGGCGGGCAUGCCUGUCCGAGCGUCAUUUCAACCCUCGAACCCCUCCGGGGGGUCGGCGUUGGGGACCUCGGGAGCCCCUAAGACGGGAUCCCGGCCCCGAAAUACAGUGGCGGUCUCGCCGCAGCCUCUCCUGCGCAGUAGUUUGCACAACUCGCACCGGGAGCGCGGCGCGUCCACGUCCGUAAAACACCCAACUUCUGAAAUGUUGACCUCGGAUCAGGUAGGAAUACCCGCUGAACUUAAGCAUAUCAAUAAGCGGAGGA
Molecule: unclassified non-coding RNA, 358 nt
Filed under: soil metagenome
Description: partial contains 5.8S ribosomal RNA, internal transcribed spacer 2, and large subunit ribosomal RNA
Rfam family: 5.8S ribosomal RNA (bases 1-120)
Source: RNAcentral